RNAcentral lists this transfer RNA (85 nucleotides) under Ephemerocybe angulata. RNAcentral describes it as "Coprinellus angulatus tRNA-Pro". It matches the Rfam family "tRNA". From Rfam's summary of the family: Transfer RNA (tRNA) molecules are approximately 80 nucleotides in length. Lineage: Eukaryota; Fungi; Basidiomycota; Agaricomycetes; Agaricales; Psathyrellaceae. The record is from RNAcentral.
GGCCUGAUGGUCUAGUAGUAUGAUUCCUUGUUAGGGCUUAACAGCAAUCUCGAGGAGGUCCCGGGUUCAAUUCCCGGUCAGGCCC